This 321-nucleotide small nuclear RNA is filed under the name Dasypus novemcinctus (nine-banded armadillo). RNAcentral's name for it is "7SK RNA (ENSDNOG00000048380.1)". It matches the Rfam family "7SK RNA". From Rfam's summary of the family: 7SK was discovered as an abundant small nuclear RNA in the mid-70s but a possible function has only recently been suggested. The record is from RNAcentral. Lineage: Eukaryota; Metazoa; Chordata; Mammalia; Cingulata; Dasypodidae.
GGAUGUGAGGCGAUCUGGCUGCGACAUCUGUCACCCCAUUGAUCAUUAGGGUUGAUCUGGCUGAUCUGGCUGGCUAGGCGGGUGUCCCCUUCCUCCCUCACUGCUCCAUGUGUGUCCCUCCCGAAGCUGCACUUGGUGGAAGAGGACGACCUUCCCCGCUAGAGGAGGACCGUUCUUCAGUCAAGGGAAUACAGGAGUAGUUGCGCUCCCCUACUAGAACCUACAAACAAGCUCUCAAGUCUACAUACUCUCUGUUGAGAUUCAGGGCCCAACUGGCAUAUGGAAAGCUCAAAGAUAUAAGUCUCUUGGUCAUAUACCUAU